RNAcentral lists this ribosomal RNA (468 nucleotides) under uncultured bacterium. RNAcentral describes it as "partial 16S ribosomal RNA". It matches the Rfam family "Bacterial small subunit ribosomal RNA", at positions 28 to 507 of the family's 1533-position model. The record is from RNAcentral.
GACGAACGCUGGCGGCGUGCUUAACACAUGCAAGUCGAACGGAAAGGCCCUGCUUUUGUGGGGUGCUCGAGUGGCGAACGGGUGAGUAACACGUGAGUAACCUGCCCUUGACUUUGGGAUAACUUCAGGAAACUGGGGCUAAUACCGGAUAGGAGCUCCUGCUGCAUGGUGGGGGUUGGAAAGUUUCGGCGGUUGGGGAUGGACGCGCGGCUUAUCAGCUUGUUGGUGGGGUAGUGGCUUACCAAGGCUUUGACGGGUAGCCGGCCUGAGAGGGUGACCGGCCACAUUGGGACUGAGAUGCGGCCCAGACUCCAACGGGAGGCAGCAGUGGGGAAUAUUGCACAAUGGGCGGAAGCCUAAUGCAGCAACGCCGCGUGCGGGAUGACGGCCUUCGGGUUGUAAUCCGCUUUCGCCUGUGACGAAGCGUGAGUGACGGUAAUGGGUAAAGAAGCACCGGCUAACUACGUG